AGGAGAGGGGUCAGGUGAACUUGACUCCAUAAUGACUGAGUUAAUUUCCCGGUCCAACAUCGGUCCAUAUUCUUGAACGUAUACUCUCUUUCUCUCUCCUUCAACCCUUAAGCAUCUCCCUUCCUCAGCUACCUUUUUACCUUUUUCCUCCCUUCUCCCUUUCUCUCCCCUUCGUUCCUUUAACCAUUUCCCUUUCCCAUCCUCAUUUCUCACUUCCGGUCUCACAUUACGGCUAUUUCCUAAGGUCACAGGGAAGAUUAACCGGGUAUUUCAUGGGUGUUACGAUUAUUUCCUAAGGUCACAGAGAAGAUUAACCGGGUAUUUCAUGGCUGUUACGAUUAUUUCCUAAGGUCACAGAGGAGAUUAACCGGGUAUUUCAUGGCUGUUACGAUUAUUUCCUAAGGUCACAGGGGAGAUUAACCGGGUAUUUCAUGGCUGUUAUGAUUAUUUCCUAAGGUCACAGGGGAGAUUAACCGGGUAUUUCAUGGCUGUUACGAUUAUUUCCUAAGGUCACAGGGGAGAUUAACCGGGUAUUUCAUGGCUGUUAUGAUUAUUUCCUAAGGUCACAGGGGAGAUUAACCGGGUAUUUCAUGGCUGUUACGAUUAUUUCCUAAGGUCACAGAGGAGAUUAACCGGGUAUUUCAUGGCUGUUACGAUUAUUUCCAAGGCCACAGAGGAGAUUAACCGGGUAUUUCAUGGCUGUUACGAUUAUUUCCAAGGCCACAGAGGAGAUUAACCGGGUAUUUCAUGGCUGUUACGAUUAUUUCCUAAGGUCACAGGGGAGAUUAACCGGGUAUUUCAUGGCUGUUACGAUUAUUUCCUAAGGUCACAGGGGAGAUUAACCGGGUAUUUCAUGGCUGUUACGAUUAUUUCCAAGGCCACAGAGAUUAACCGGGUAUUUCAUGGCUGUUACGGCGAUUUUCCAAUGCCACAGAGAUUAACCGGGUAUUUCAUG
Eriocheir sinensis (Chinese mitten crab) is the source of this 955-nucleotide long non-coding RNA. RefSeq lists it as uncharacterized. The record is from RefSeq and is a predicted model, not a curated record. The transcript has 3 exons. NCBI's taxonomy places the organism in Eukaryota, Metazoa, Arthropoda, Malacostraca, Decapoda, Varunidae.